AAAGCGUGCGCAGGCGGUUUUGUAAGUCUGUCGUGAAAGCCCCGGGCUUAACCUGGGAAUUGCGAUGGAGACUGCAAGGCUUGAAUCUGGCAGAGGGGGGUAGAAUUCCACGUGUAGCAGUGAAAUGCGUAGAGAUGUGGAGGAACACCGAUGGCGAAGGCAGCCCCCUGGGUCAAGAUUGACGCUCAUGCACGAAAGCGUGGGGAGCAAACAGGAUUAGAUACCCUGGU
This 230-nucleotide ribosomal RNA is filed under the name uncultured bacterium. RNAcentral's name for it is "partial 16S ribosomal RNA". It matches the Rfam family "Bacterial small subunit ribosomal RNA", at positions 562 to 791 of the family's 1533-position model. The record is from RNAcentral.